This 253-nucleotide ribosomal RNA is filed under the name uncultured bacterium. Its description in RNAcentral is "partial 16S ribosomal RNA". It matches the Rfam family "Bacterial small subunit ribosomal RNA", at positions 524 to 776 of the family's 1533-position model. The record is from RNAcentral.
UACGUAGGGUGCGAGCGUUAAUCGGAAUUACUGGGCGUAAAGCGUGCGCAGGCGGGCUUUUAAGCCAGACGUGAAAUCCCCGGGCUUAACCUGGGAAUGGCGUUUGGGACUGGGAGUCUGGAGUACGGCAGAGGAGACUGGAAUUCCUGGUGUAGCAGUGAAAUGCGCAGAUAUCAGGAAGAACACCAAUGGCGAAGGCAGCUCUCUGGGACGGUACUGACGCUGAGACGCGAAAGCGUGGGGAGCGAACAGG